UGGGGAAUUUUGGACAAUGGGCGAAAGCCUGAUCCAGCAAUGCCGCGUGUGUGAAGAAGGCCUUCGGGUUGUAAAGCACUUUUGUCCGGAAAGAAAUCCUUGGCUCUAAUACAGUCGGGGGAUGACGGUACCGGAAGAAUAAGCACCGGCUAACUACGUGCCAGCAGCCGCGGUAAUACGUAGGGUGCAAGCGUUAAUCGGAAUUACUGGGCGUAAAGCGUGCGCAGGCGGUUUGCUAAGACCGAUGUGAAAUCCCCGGGCGUCAACCUGGGAACUGGCAAUUGGUGAUCUGGCAGGCUAGAGUAUGGCAGAGGGGGUGAGAAUUAUCCACGUGUAGCAGUGAAAUGCGUAGAGAUGUGGAGGAAUACCGAUGGCGAAGGCAGCCCUCGGCAGUCACUGACGCUCAUGCACGAAAGCGUGGGGAGCAAACAGGAUUAGAUACCCUGGUAGUCCACGCCCUAAAACGAUGUCAACUAGUUGUUGGGGAUUCAUUUCCUUAGUAACGUAGCUAACGCGUGAAGUUGACCGCCUGGGGAGUACGGUCGCAAGAUUAAAAACUCAAAGGAAUUGACGGGGUCAUAGCUGUUUCCU
Molecule: ribosomal RNA, 591 nt
Filed under: uncultured bacterium
Lineage: Bacteria
Description: partial 16S ribosomal RNA
Rfam family: Bacterial small subunit ribosomal RNA
Source: RNAcentral